RNAcentral lists this ribosomal RNA (443 nucleotides) under uncultured bacterium. RNAcentral's name for it is "partial 16S ribosomal RNA". It matches the Rfam family "Bacterial small subunit ribosomal RNA", at positions 338 to 795 of the family's 1533-position model. The record is from RNAcentral.
CCUACGGGUGGCAGCAGUGGGGAAUAUUGCACAAUGGGGGGAACCCUGAUGCAGCAAUGCCGCGUGAAGGAUGAAGGUUUUCGGAUUGUAAACUUCUUUUGUACGGGACGAAGAAAGUGACGGUACCGUAAGAAUAAGCCACGGCUAACUACGUGCCAGCAGCCGCGGUAAUACGUAGGGGGCAAGCGUUAUCCGGAUUUACUGGGUGUAAAGGGGGCGCAGACGGCGAUGCAAGCCAGGAGUGAAAGCCCGGGGCCCAACCCCGGGACUGCUCUUGGAACUGCGUGGCUGGAGUGCAGGAGGGGCAGGCGGAAUUCCUGGUGUAGCGGUGAAAUGCGUAGAUAUCAGGAGGAACACCGGUGGCGAAGGCGGCCUGCUGGACUGCAACUGACGUUGAGGCCCGAAAGCGUGGGGAGCAAACAGGAUUAGAUACCCCAGUAGUC